GAUGAACGCUGGCGGCGUGCCUAAUACAUGCCAGUCGAGCGAACGGACGAGAAUCUUGCUUCUCUGAUGUUAGCGGCGGACGGGUGAGUAACACGUGGAUAACCUACCUAUAAGACUGGGAUAACUUCGGGAAACCGUAGCUAAUACCGGAUAAUAUUUUGAACCGCAUGGUUCAAAAGUGAAAGACGGUCUUGCUGUCACUUAUAGAUGGAUCCGCGCUGCAUUAGCUAGUUGGUAAGGUAACGGCUUACCAAGGCAACGAUGCAUAGCCGACCUGAGAGGGUGAUCGGCCACACUGGAACUGAGACACGGUCCAGAAUCCUACGGGAGGCAGCAGUAGGGAAUCUUCCGCAAUGGGCGAAAGCCUGACGGAGCAACGCCGCGUGAGUGAUGAAGGUCUUCGGAUCGUAAAACUCUGUUAUUAGGGAAGAACAUAUGUGUAAGUAACUGUGCACAUCUUGACGGUACCUAAUCAGAAAGCCACGGCGAACUACGU
RNAcentral lists this ribosomal RNA (496 nucleotides) under uncultured bacterium. RNAcentral's name for it is "partial 16S ribosomal RNA". It matches the Rfam family "Bacterial small subunit ribosomal RNA", at positions 28 to 506 of the family's 1533-position model. The record is from RNAcentral.